UCUGCUUAAAUAAGAAGGAGAGUACAUUUACUUACACAUCCACAGCAACGCGUCUUCCUUCUGACCUGAGCAGAGCCUCAGAGGAAUGAAGAUCUGCAUCACUGCAGUGACACUGCACUGUCCUUUCUUAUGUACCCAUCCUCUAAUCUGAUUUAAAACCCUGAAAAAUGCAUUGCUAGUGAUAUCUUCCGUUUAAUUUUAUUGCUGUCUUUGCAGUUCAACUCACUGUUGAAUUCCAACUGACCCGAGGUUUUAAAUCUGUUCUGUAAAACCCACUGUUAUAUGCUGUACCACAGAAGUAUCUGUUGAACUGUUGUCUCACCUCACGUAACUCAUUUUUCACGUCUUCGCAGUCACUGCCCCUUCCAUUCCCACAGCCCAGGAACACCCCCAGCUAUCAGCUACUCCAAACCCCAGCAGCAAACUCAGGCAAAGGCUGCAGUUAUUCUGCUAUCCCGAUGCUGUGGCUGGGGCUGCCCUGUGGUGGCGGUGCUGCCUGAGGCACAGCUCAGCUCCAUGUCUGUCAGCCAAAGCUUUGGCCUGUGAUCUGGAUUCAGUGAACUCCUGAUUACCUCACACGUUUAAAGGCAUUUAGUUUUAGAUCAGUAUCCAAGAUUAUAACGUCACCUACUGCCACAUACAGCACAAUCAGCAGUUCAGGUCAGUGCUGGACCUGUUGUGCUGUGCAGGCAAUGAGCACCUUCAGCAGGUGCUGCUUCUGCUGCGGCCAGCUGUGGGAGCACGUCUUACCUUCUCCUGUUUCUGUUUUUCACUGCAUAGUACCGUCAACGAAUUCGUGAUCUUUUUCAAAUCAUCAAUUUCCACUGCAGAAAAGAAAAAAAGAGAUUCCUCAUCAGUACUGUGCUCACAUAUCCCAACAUCACAGCUCUCUCAUGGCUGUAGAGGGAUGGGAGGGCUGGCGCAGAAGGGAAGGGUGCAAAUUAAGAGUUGGUGUACACAGUCUUAACAGGGAGACACUCGAACAACUGGAGCAAUAUCAGUAUGCAGGAGGUAAAAUAUCGACACAAACAAAAAGGAGCAGUGCAGUGUCAAUGUUAAAUUGCCCCACAGGCUGUGAGUCCUUCACUUCAGCUCUGGGAUCACACAGCACUGCUGCAGGCAGCCCGGGCUCCUGUGUGUGCACAGCAUUACAGCACUGAGCCACCACGUGGCUGAAGGGCAGCAUGAGCAGAGCACAGCAAAAGGGCUCAAACAACGAAUCCACCAGCUGCCAACCAGAGCAGGGCAAAAACGGGACUGUAAGUUACUUUAUCUCUGUGUGGUCACAGGCUGAACUCCAGAACAAUUAACCUCACACUCUGUGAAUUACAACAUCUCUCUUUUAUAGCAGUCCUCCCAGCAGAGCUGCUGCCAUUACCUGGCUCAGAGAAACACUGAUGUUCCAGAAACUGUUUCAAGAGAGACAGAUGGGCCAGUCCUUAACACCAACAGCCCCAGGUGAGAAGCACAGGACUGACAUUUGCUUCAGCACAUCAGCCCAGCAUCUCCAGAGCUCUGCUCAGCCCCACAGACAACCGACAACCAACGCAGCCCUCUGCGUUUCUGAGCCCACGAACAAACAGGAAUUACCCUUUUUUUAAGCUCCUCUUGCUUUUUCUUCUGUUGCUUUUCUUUUUCUUUUAUCUUUUCUGCUAUUUUCUUUUUUUCUGACACUUUGGGUUCUGUAGGACAUUAAACAAAACGGCAUUGA
Gallus gallus (chicken) is the source of this 1711-nucleotide long non-coding RNA. RefSeq lists it as uncharacterized. The record is from RefSeq and is a predicted model, not a curated record. The transcript is spliced from 2 exons. NCBI's taxonomy places the organism in Eukaryota, Metazoa, Chordata, Aves, Galliformes, Phasianidae.